UGUAAAGAAUCUGAUGUAUAAAGAGUCCUGCCUGCCCAGUGACUGGUUUAGUUUAACGGCCGCGGUAUAUUGACCGUGCAAAGGUAGCAUAAUCAUUUGCCUCUUAAAUUGGGGCUGGAAUGAAUGGCAAGACGGGAAUUAAGCUGUCUCUCUCUUAUAGUUUGAAGUUAAUAUUUUUGUGAAGAAACAGAAAUAUGAUCGUAGGACGAGAAGACCCUAUCGAGCUUUAAUAUAUGGGGAUGUAAUAUAUUAACUAUUGUCGCGUGCUAAUUAUUUUUUAGUAAUUAAUUAUAAAGUUACUGGUCAUUGGCGGUGGUGUUGUGCAUAUUAUAUUUGGGUUGGGGCAAUCGCGGAGAAUAAUUAUCCUCCGCUAUUUUUUUUAAAAAAAAUCUUUUUAGAUUUGAGUAUUCAAAUUGAAGUGAUCCACUUAUAUAAGUGAUUAAAAGAAUAAGUUACCGUAGGGAUAACAGCGUAAUUUUUUUGGAGAGUUCAUAUUGAUAAAAAAGUUUGCGACCUCGAUGUUGGAUCGGGAUUUCCUGGGGAUGUAGCAGUUCCUGAGGGUUGGUCUGUUCGACCAUUAAAAUCCU
RNAcentral lists this ribosomal RNA (587 nucleotides) under cf. Lophaster sp. DH-2009. Its description in RNAcentral is "partial 16S ribosomal RNA". It matches the Rfam family "Bacterial large subunit ribosomal RNA", at positions 1824 to 2597 of the family's 2925-position model. The record is from RNAcentral. Lineage: Eukaryota; Metazoa; Echinodermata; Asteroidea; Velatida; Solasteridae.